ACCCGCGCCUGCCUGUCACGGCUCCUCACACAGCUUCUGGGACGGGAACGGAGACCCCGUGUAGUUUUGGUCCAGUCUUAGAAAAGAAGGCUCAUAAAGAGUGGAGGAAGGCGAGGGAACGGGAGGCUGGCUGGGAGCCCGCGAGACAGCGCGCCGCUGUUCCAGCGCGGCGUGUGCGCCUGGCGAUGCCAGGAUGAGUGGCAUGCAGCCCUUCAGGGGCCUCAGACUGAGCUUGGGGAGUAAGGAUACCGGCGGGCGGAAGGAGGGCAGCUUGUUCUGCAGACCUCCCAGCUCGUCUUUCAGCAGCUUCUGAGGGUUUUUCCUAGGUCCAUGAGAGACGUGAGGUCACAGGGGAAGCUGCUGCUGCACAGUGAGAGACACAGACGGAUGGGUACGGAACAUCACGACUUACCAGAUUAGAGGCCCACCCCUUCAAGAACCGUUACUGAGAUUUCCUGAAGAGAGAUGACAUUGCUUCUUGGACCUAGAGUCAGUCUGCUGGCCUCAGCCUGUGG
Long non-coding RNA from Lepus europaeus (European hare), 515 nucleotides. RefSeq lists it as uncharacterized. The transcript has 3 exons. NCBI's taxonomy places the organism in Eukaryota, Metazoa, Chordata, Mammalia, Lagomorpha, Leporidae. The record is from RefSeq and is a predicted model, not a curated record.